AGACCAAAUUCUUAUGGUUUUAGACAACACAAAUAUUUCCCCGAAUUGUACCAUCAAAACAUCUUCAAGAAAUAGGAAUGAGGGGUCUAUAGAUGGUUUGAAUUUGUUCAGAAUGCUAACAUACAACAUGACGCAAGAGUUCGAUUUACUGUCUUAGAUCCACCUGAUUAUUUGAAUGUUGAUAUCAUUAAUCAACAUCAAUAAUUGUCUUCUUCAAAAACAAUUAUGUUUGAUGUGUUGUAGUUUAUUAUGAUUUUCAGUUCUAACUCUAUCUAUAUUAAUUAUCUGAAUGAUACUCUGAAGUUAUUGUUUGUUGUAUUGUCUAAAUGAUAUAUUUAAUCGGAUAAUUCAAUCGUUCUCGCCCGUGCGUUGCACGGGUUCCUAACUAGU
Molecule: long non-coding RNA, 390 nt
Filed under: Trifolium pratense (red clover)
Lineage: Eukaryota; Viridiplantae; Streptophyta; Magnoliopsida; Fabales; Fabaceae
Description: long non-coding RNA (TPRA_LNC000165)
Source: RNAcentral